CCUACGGGAGGCAGCAGUGGGGAAUAUUGCACAAUGGGGGGAACCCUGAUGCAGCGACGCCGCGUGAAGGAAGAAGUAUUUCGGUAUGUAAACUUCUAUCAGCAGGGAAGAAAAAGGACGGUACCUGACUAAGAAGCCCCGGCUAACUACGUGCCAGCAGCCGCGGUAAUACGUAGGGGGCGAGCGUUAUCCGGAUUUACUGGGUGUAAAGGGGGCGCAGACGGCCAUGGCAAGCCCGGUGUGAAAGGUGCGGGCACAACCCGCAGACUGCACUGGUAACUGUCUGGCUGGAGUGCCGGAGGGGUAAGCGGAAUUCCUGGUGUAGCGGUGAAAUGCGUAGAUAUCAGGAGGAACACCGGUGGCGAAGGCGGCUUACUGGACGGCAACUGACGUUGAGGCC
This 400-nucleotide ribosomal RNA is filed under the name uncultured bacterium. RNAcentral's name for it is "bacterial SSU rRNA". It matches the Rfam family "Bacterial small subunit ribosomal RNA", at positions 338 to 753 of the family's 1533-position model. The record is from RNAcentral.